UCGAUGAUGAUAAAUGAGAUGUGGCACUAUCCACUCGCCGUAGGCCGGAUACACAAACAAACACACGGUUCCUGUGUCCCGUUGCUAACUUACAGCUAGCUUAUGCUAACGUCAGUACAGUUGGUACUUUGGCUGUUUGGGGCGAACAAACAAACGACCCUGCGGUCACAUUCACCGGAAUGAUGCUAGGAGAAAAGUAUGGAUCGCCUUGAGAGGGAAUAUGGCGUUUUAUAUUGGUUUUGUUUGUGUUUCUGCAAAUAGACGGUUGCAGGUGGACUGGUGUUUACAUGGUCUGUGGAGCUGAAAGUCUGCAGCUAUGCAGCCUCAGUGGAUGCCAUCUGGAAGAAGAAGAACUUUCUCCAGACGAGCUGAAGGGACAUCUUCUCUGAGCUGAAGCUCUGAGAGGCAGGAAUGAGCCUCCCCUACCGCUGAGCUCAAGAUGAGUGGUGGGUUUGAUCUGCAUCCGGCUGUUGGCCGUCUACAUGCACACUCAAUGCUCACUAGUAUUGUUAAAUACCCCCAUGGGUUGUCAAGAGUGUUGUAAUGGUAUCCAACUGUGACUAUGGCUGACAAUAGUUAAUGUUUUCAUUAUCCUUUCAAGUUAUGAUUAAUUGUUUAACUUAAUUGUCACUUAAGUAGUUGAUUAAUUGGUGAGUCAUCUUAGCUUCAAAUGUGCCUUUUUAGAGACAUAAAUCACACAUAAUCUUUGGGUUUUUUUCUGUCACCGCACAUCGUCACACAUCAUCAUUAAUGCCAGCAGUCACAUUUAUACUUGGAAUAAUAAAUGCAAAAAAUGUCACUGUCCCUUCUUUGUGUUGUUUACGUAUUUGCCUCUGUGCCUAGAUAUACAUGCAUUUCUCCUUAAACCAGAUUUCUAUGGGGCUUUGGGAAGCUCCGAUGUCGUUAUUUUGCUCCAUGGCUUCCCCACCUCCAGCUUCGACUGGAACAAGAUCUGAGAGCCACCCACUCAGCGCUUCCAUCGAGUCAUUGCACUGGAC
This is a long non-coding RNA of Perca flavescens (yellow perch), 998 nucleotides long. RefSeq lists it as uncharacterized. Lineage: Eukaryota; Metazoa; Chordata; Actinopteri; Perciformes; Percidae. The record is from RefSeq and is a predicted model, not a curated record. The transcript is spliced from 4 exons.